This 253-nucleotide ribosomal RNA is filed under the name uncultured bacterium. RNAcentral's name for it is "partial 16S ribosomal RNA". It matches the Rfam family "Bacterial small subunit ribosomal RNA", at positions 524 to 776 of the family's 1533-position model. The record is from RNAcentral.
GACAGAGGGUGCAAACGUUGCUCGGAAUCACUGGGCGUAAAGGGCGUGUAGGCGGACAUGUAAGUCGGGCGUGAAAUCCCCAGGCUCAACCUGGGAACUGCACUCGAAACUGCGUGUCUUGAGUGCCGGAGAGGAAAGCGGAAUUCCUGGUGUAGAGGUGAAAUUCGUAGAUAUCAGGAGGAACACCAGUGGCGAAGGCGGCUUUCUGGACGGUAACUGACGCUGAGACGCGAAAGCGUGGGGAGCAAACAGG